UACGAAGGGGGCUAGCGUUGUUCGGAAUCACUGGGCGUAAAGCGCACGUAGGUGGACAUUUAAGUCGGAGGUGAAAUCCCAAGGCUCAACCUUGGAACUGCCUUCGAUACUGGGUGUCUUGAGUAUGGUAGAGGUUAGUGGAACUGCAAGUGUAGAGGUGAAAUUCGUAGAUAUUUGCAAGAACACCAGUGGCGAAGGCGGCUAACUGGACCAUUACUGACACUGAGGUGCGAAAGCGUGGGGAGCAAACAGG
RNAcentral lists this ribosomal RNA (253 nucleotides) under uncultured bacterium. RNAcentral's name for it is "partial 16S ribosomal RNA". It matches the Rfam family "Bacterial small subunit ribosomal RNA", at positions 524 to 776 of the family's 1533-position model. The record is from RNAcentral.